Molecule: long non-coding RNA, 724 nt
Filed under: Leguminivora glycinivorella
Lineage: Eukaryota; Metazoa; Arthropoda; Insecta; Lepidoptera; Tortricidae
Description: uncharacterized LOC125232594
Source: RNAcentral
GUAAUACGUUACAUUCUUAAAAAAUAAACAUUUAAAACUACUAAAUUACCUAACUAAAAAUACUACACUACUAAUAAACUAUAUUACAUAUUAAAAUAUACAACAAUAAUGUCUUAAAACUACGUAUUUACAAGUAUAAAAUCAUCAUCACGCUGAUUGAUUUAAAUAUGUCGCGCCGCGGUAAACAUUCACUCCCAAUAAUGUUCACAUUCGCGAGUGCAUGAAUGAAUGCACGGGUCGAGGCGCUGUGUCAUUGCGCCCAUCACUCACUCGUCCAUUUUAUCUUUGGAGUUGAGUGGAACGCACGUCGUUAAUUAUCGAUCUCUGCUACGGAUCAGAUACCAAUCGAAAUUCGUAAUCGAAUUUAACUGCGUCCCUACGUGUUCCUCAACUUAUUAAAUUACUGUGGUGUUUUAAUUAUGUGUAAUAGUGUACCCCGAAUUGGGGUCCCAAGUCCAGAGUGACUUCUUUUGGCUUCCUGCUUGCCGCCCGCCUGCCGUAUUGCUUCUGGCCGCUUUCCCCGACUCAGCGCCACGCAGAUUCUAGCAGCGCUGAACUCAGCGCCGAUCAGAAAAACGGCGCCUACCACCUCGGCAUCGUCAGGGGAGUACUGUGGCUACAAUCGACUAGCGGAAUCCGAUCUUGACUAGUAAUUUUUUACGAACCACGACUUUUACCCAUCUUACCGGCUGAGCUUCAUGGGAAUAAAUAUUGUCUUACCGUU